This 505-nucleotide ribosomal RNA is filed under the name uncultured bacterium. RNAcentral's name for it is "partial 16S ribosomal RNA". It matches the Rfam family "Bacterial small subunit ribosomal RNA", at positions 28 to 507 of the family's 1533-position model. The record is from RNAcentral.
GACGAACGCUGGCGGCGUGCCUAAUACAUGCAAGUAGAACGCACAGUUUAUACCGUAGCUUGCUACACCAUAGACUGUGAGUUGCGAACGGGUGAGUAACGCGUAGGUAACCUGCCUGGUAGCGGGGGAUAACUAUUGGAAACGAUAGCUAAUACCGCAUAAUAUUGAUUAUUGCAUGAUAAUUGAUUGAAAGAUGCUAUUGCAUCACUACCAGAUGGACCUGCGUUGUAUUAGCUAGUAGGUGAGGUAACGGCUCACCUAGGCGACGAUACAUAGCCGACCUGAGAGGGUGAUCGGCCACACUGGGACUGAGACACGGCCCAGACUCCUACGGGAGGCAGCAGUAGGGAAUCUUCGGCAAUGGACGAAAGUCUGACCGAGCAACGCCGCGUGAGUGAAGAAGGUUUUCGGAUCGUAAAGCUCUGUUGUAAGAGAAGAACGGGGGUGAGAGUGGAAAGUUCACACUGUGACGGUAUCUUACCAGAAAGAGACGGCUAACUACGUG